CCUACGGGGGGCAGCAGCUAAGAAUAUUCCGCAAUGGACGAAAGUCUGACGGAGCGACGCCGCGUGGAUGAAGAAGGCCGAAAGGUUGUAAAGUCCUUUUGUUGGGGAAGAAUAAGCGCGGGAGGGAAUGCCCGCGUGAUGACAUGAACCGACGAAUAAGCCCCGGCUAACUACGUGCCAGCAGCCGCGGUAACACGUAGGGGGCGAGCGUUGUUCGGAAUUACUGGGCGUAAAGGGCAUGUAGGCGGCCUUGUAAGCCUGGCGUGAAAGUCACC
Molecule: ribosomal RNA, 275 nt
Filed under: uncultured bacterium
Lineage: Bacteria
Description: partial 16S ribosomal RNA
Rfam family: Bacterial small subunit ribosomal RNA
Source: RNAcentral